Molecule: long non-coding RNA, 12265 nt
Filed under: Solanum tuberosum (potato)
Lineage: Eukaryota; Viridiplantae; Streptophyta; Magnoliopsida; Solanales; Solanaceae
Description: long non-coding RNA (STUB_LNC007890)
Source: RNAcentral
UACCUGUACCUGUAUUUUAGUUUUAACUACACCUGGGAGAUUUUAACAUCAUUUAAUCUCUGGGUUGAAGGAUGGUAAGCUUCCCGAAGAUUCAAUUCAUGAUCUUGCUUGUGGCCUUGUUAGAGCUCUUCUGUAAGUAACUUUAGCCUUCAUUGUUCUUUUGUAACACUUGUUGUUUCGGGCAUGAAUAACCUUUCUGGUGUUCUGUCUACUAUACCAGAUACUUACAUUCAAAGGGAAUAAUUUACUGUGACUUAAAGCCAUCAAACAUCCUAUUGGAUGAAAAUGGAAUCACGAAGGUAUGGUGAUCUUUAUGUUGAGAUUUUUCCACAUCAUGAUGAGUGCUUUUGACCAAUUAUAUGAUUUUGAAGUUCAAUUUGUUUCCUGGCAGCUGUGUGAUUUUGGAUUAGCAAGAAAAUUGAGUGAUAUAUCAAAGACACCUUCCUCCCAGGUAGUUCAACUCUCUUUCCCCUCCUUUUCCCCCUAAAAUGAACACAGGAAAAGUUAAAUUGGUGGCAUAACUGUUUUGCAGUUCAUAAAAGGUAAAUGCCUGAAUGGUGCACUAGUCAAUUCACUUUUUUUAAUAAUGGUAGUGUGUGGGUUCGUUUGCGCGCACCUCCUCCACCAACAUAGGUACCAACUGGGUAACUCUAUCCACCACUUCUUAGGAGGAUGACAAGAAACCACAAAGUGUUUUUUGUUGUUAUUAAGAUUUGAACCCUAAUUUCCAAGGUUUGCACCCACUUCAUUGGUCCACUUUCUUGGGUGACUGACUCUGCACAAGUCAAGUCUGGUCACUUUUGUGUUUGUAGAAGUGGUUUAUAUUCAUCUGUAAGAGAAAUUCUAAAGGUAUUGUGACAGCUUUUGCAAAUUGUUGGUUCUUACAUUAGGCACUUUCUCAUCUUCGAUGGAGUAAUUAUCUGAGGCUGCACUUUGGAAUUAGGAAGCUGAGCCAGAAAACAUAAAAUGAAGCCAAAAGAAAUAGAUUUUUAUUCUUCUGGUGCAGGAAGUGAGGAAAACUUAAGAGGAACACGGUUUCCGUUGUUUGGACAUUAAAAAGAAGCAAAAGAAACAUCUUACAAUGAGCUAACUUCUCGACAUUUCUGCAGAAAUUCUCUAAGUUAUUCUUUUUCGGUCUGUCUAGAGAAAUUUCAAAGUCAAGAGGACGCACAAGUUUUCUCAAAGAUCUUACAAUUACUUGACUUCUUCCUUUCUUUGCUUUUACUUUUCAAUUCACAAUCAAACAUGGAAAACACAGUUCUAAAUUUUUGCAUGUUUCCUUUAAUCAACUACCGAAUAGAAUAUAGAUUUUAUAAAGUGAUAUUUAUUGCUUUUGGUUUUGAUUUGUGUCCUUUCCCUGCUGUUGUCAUUCAUAUGUGCUAUUUUUGUAUCAUGUAUUUUUCAGUUACCACAAAUAAAGCGAGGAACCCCAUAUUACAUGGCUCCAGAGCUUUUCCAGGAUGGAGGGGUCCAUUCCUAUGCCUCUGAUUUCUGGGCUCUUGGUUGCGUCUUGUUUGAAUGCUAUGCUGGGAUACCUCCUUUUGUUGGCAAAGAAUUUACCCAGUUAGUGAGAUCAGUCAUUUCUGAUCCAACUCCAGCACUUCCUGGCACCCCAAGCCGCCCCUUGGUCAAUCUGAUUAACUCUCUUCUAAUAAAAGAUCCUUCUGAAAGAAUGCAGUGGGCCGAGCUUGCAGGACAUGCUUUCUGGAAAACAAGAUUUGCUCCAGUGCCUUUACCUCCUCAGCCUGCUUUUGAUAAUAUGAUAGAAAUGUCUUCUAAACAAUGCCUUUCAGAAAGGAACAGUGAAAAGCCUAUACAAAACAAGACCCCACAAAAGACUCGUGAAAAAGAUUCAAAGGUGUCCCUCAAGCAUGAUGAAAAUUCAAAUACUGGAUCCAGAGGUUACGUGACACCAAUUAAAGGCAUAUCCAGCGGCCGGAAAGUUCAAAUGAAGGGUUCUGGCAGGACAACUGAUGACAAGCAGAAAGACACCUCGAACAAUACUAGAGGUGUCAAUCUAUUACGUCUUUCAAGAAUUGCAAAAUCAAAUUUAAUGAGGGAGAAUGAGAAGGAGAACUACCGCAGGCCAUUGCCUAAUAACUCUGAGAAUGAUGCUGAACUUAAGGUUGAAAAUACUGACAUGGAACUUGACUUUAAUGAGAAUAAUGAGGAUGAUACACAAGAUGAACCUGAUGAAACUGACAGCACUCAGAGUCCUGAGUCAACUACUUCAACUCCAAAUCUUACAGAGGGUAAUGUGGAAGAGAUGGAUAUUGAUAGCAGACAUCCAGAUACACCAGCGGUGGUUAAUACGCCUUGCUCAGAUUAUUCAAGGACAUCUGACCAUGAACAGUCUUCUAAAUAUGAGGUGGCUGCUAUGCUACCUAACGAUAGCCCUCAGCUAAAGACUCCUGUGAUUAAAGAGAAUUCUGCGAAUGACUCUGAUAUUUCAAAACCAUCUACGAACCUUUCAGAUAUUCUUUGGCAUCCAUCUGAUCUCUCAGUCAGACCUGUAAUGCCUAGCAGAAAAUCAGAUAAAGGUUCAGAUGCAAUACCUUCACUUUCAUUCGAUGCACCUCAACUGUCUGAUUUUGUCAAAAUGUCAAAGGAGCAAUUAGACUCUUUUAAUAGUAGAAUCAUCAGUAUUGUUAGUGGGAAUACUCCCUCAGGGGAGAAGCAAAAUGUGAUCAGAUACCUUGAGCUUUUGAGCAGCAAUGCUGAUGCAGCCAACAUCUUGACCAAUGGGUCUAUUAUGUUGGUUCUAGUCAAAAUGCUUCGUCACUCCAAGGUUACUCUGUUGCGUGCUCAACUUGCUUCACUUAUUGGUUUGUUGAUUCGUCACUCUACUUUUAUUGGGGAUGAGCUGGCAAAUUCUGGAAUAUUAGGUGCACUAACUGAUGGUCUGAGAGACAGGCAAGAGAAAGUGAGAAGGUUUUCCAUGGCUGCUUUGGGUGAAUUACUAUUUUAUAUAUCUACUCAAAAUGAGCAUGCUCGGGAUAACAAACCAAUGGAAUCUCCAUCUAAGGACAGCCGACCCUCAUCCUGUUGGCAGGUAACUUCGUUGCUGUAAUUUCUUAUUUGGUGCAGCUUGUCAAGCUAAUUACUCCCUCCGUUUUCAUUUUUGUCCGAUUUUGACUUGGCAUAGCAUUUAAGAAAGUAAAGAAGAUUUUUGAAUCUUGUGAACUUAAAUUAAAUGUGUAGAAUGUACCAAAUGUUCUUAAAUCUUGUGGUCUUAAACAUGUCAUAUGAAAAGAUGAAAUUAAAUAGUUGCAAAAGAGAAGGCACAUUGUUUUUGAAAAGGACCAAAAAGGAAAGUAGGACAAACAAAUUAAAAUGGAGGGAGUUAUAUUUGUUAAAAUUCCUCUCCACAAUAAAUUCCUCUCCAGUCAAGAACUCACAUGUUCAAAAAUUGCAUGUUGCGGAGAUGAGGAUGCUGAGAUGGAUGAGUGGGCACACUAGGAGUGAUAAGAUUAGGAAUGAGGUUAUCCGAGAGAAGGUGGGAGUGGCCCCCUGUGGUGGACAAGCUGAGGGAAGCGAGACUGAGACGGUUUGGGCAUGUGAAGAGGCGGUGCGCAGACGCUCCAGUGAGGAGGUGCGAGGGUCUGGUGGUAGAGGGUACGCAGAGGGGUAGAGGUAGGCCUAGGAAGUAUUGGGAAGAGGUGAUUAGACAGGACUUGGCUCAGCUUCACAUCACCGAGGACAUGACUCUAGAUAGGAAGGAGUGGAGGUCGCGUAUUAAGGUUGAAGGUUAGUAGGGGUAGCGAGUUGUCCUCCCUUGCGAGGGUAUGGGUUGGUAGUGUUUGUAGUAGUCCUAGCCUGGCACUUGUAGUUCUUGCCUGUGAUCCUAUAGUCAUAUGUUGUUUACUGCGUUUCGCCUCUCGAAGUAUUUUCCUGAUGUUAUUGUCUCCGUUGUUGAUUGUGCAUUGUUUCUUAUUGGGUGUUAUGUUAUGUAUAAUGUUUCCUCUUCGCCUGCUUGGUUUGGAUGUACUUGAGCCGAGGGUCCACCGGAAACAGCCUCUCUACCUCCACGAGGUAGUGGUAAGGUCUGCGUACACUUUACCCUCCCCAGACCCCACUUUGUGGGAUUUCACUGGGUAUGUUGUUGUUGUUGUUGUUAUUGCAAUGGGAUUUUAAGUAUUAAGUGUUCUAUGAGCAAUCACUUAAAAGCAUAGACACUAUCAGAAACACAAUUCAAGCACCAAUGCAGCUCUUGUGAGAAAUAAUGCAAGUUAUCACUAGGAUAUAAAUGGUAUACUUAUUAAUGGGUUAAACACCAGUAAUCUUUUAAUUAGUGAUAAUUAUACAGUCACGUAUACUAUCAGACAUGUAAGUGUAUACAAUGAUUAUCUUGUAGUAAAUCAUGUCUAUAAAUCUGCAUGGGACAAAUUUCUAACAUGAAGAAUAAGAUGGAUGACAAAUGAUAACUUGGCAUAGACUUCAAUUUUUCCUGUUAGCUAUCUGUCCCACAUCACGAAAUAUUGUAGAAUCUAUAUAUACAAGAUUCUACAAGUUUUUCUCUGUAUUUUACUGGAAGAACUAAUAAGCUGGUAAUUCCCUUGUAAUGCAACACUAUAUAGCAGUAAAAUGAACAAGAGUGUUAAGAUAUUUCUCUUAGGGUUGUGGGAAAAAUAAGAUAAAAUCAUACAAGCAUCUAUACUAUCUUUACAUAAAAUAAGAUAAAAUCAUACAAGCAUCUAUACUGUCUUUAAUUCUUUACAUAUUGCAAAGCCUCACAUUCUGUCUUAACAUUCCUUUCUGAAAAUGUUAAUGUUGUAGGUUACAAAUCCAAUAAUUUCAUUGGUUUCAUCACUUUUACGAAACGGAGAGGAUGAUAUUACUCAACUUUAUGCUCUGAGGACAAUUGAAAAUAUCUCCAGUCAAGGAGGGUACUGGUCUGCUCGUUUCACCAGCCAAGAUGUCAUUACUAACCUCUGCUACAUAAUUAGGGCUCCUGGAAAGCAGGAGAGCAUGAGGCUGACAGCAGGGUCUUGCUUGGCUCGUCUUGUUCGUUUUAGCCCUUCUAGUAUUCAACGAGUCAUGGAAAAACUUUCAUUCAAGGAUAUGGUUUCAAGCCUGGUCAAGCGUAAUCCACGAGAGCAACAAAUCUGCUUAAACGUUCUGAACAUGACCCUCCUUGAAAGUCACACACUUCCAAGUGUUGGAAGGUACCUUCUUGCCUUGGUCGAAGACAAGAAUCUUGUUCUGAAUCUUGUGACUCUAAUUGAGCAGGGAAGUGAAGUUUUGAAGGGAAAGACACUCAUAUUUGUGGCUCUACUUUGUAUGAAUGGGAAGAGGUGGCUGCCACUAUUUUUUUGCAAUGCUAAACUGCUCUCAACCGUUGAUAGGUUGGUUAAGGAGAAGGAUGACUUUGUGAAGCAGUGUUUAGAUGCACUUGGGAUGGUUGUCGCAUCAACUGUACCAAGUUUGCUUGAGUGUAUAUCUGGGGACAUUCAGCAACUGAAGGGUGGUAAACGCCGUGGGCAGAUAAUUAGUGUCACAAGUCGAAAUUCUUCUAAGAACAGUAUGCAUUUAUUUCCUGUUGUUCUCCAUCUUCUUGGGUGCGCUUCACUGAAAAGAAGGGUUGCUAGUCAUCAGGUUCUGCAACAGUUGGCAAAUCUACUUAAACUGGUGGAGUCUCCUUUCCAGGUAAUCUGAUGAUAUCUUUAUUACUUCUUCUAAUUGUAAAAUUCCACAUAUAAGACAAGGUUCUUAGUUAGAAGAAAAGAAAAAUCCAAAUGUUCCAAAAGCCCACAUAGAAGACAUAUAACCCUUGUCCUAGAUUUGGAACCUUCAAUUUAAUAUGGUUCGUUUGCAAGACCUCCUAGUAAUCGUCACCUGAGCCAAGUGUUAGCUACCAAGCUAAUAUAAGCUCCAAACUCUGGUAAAGAAGGGUGGGCGUAGGGGUGCAUAAGAUUAGGCUGAUGAUCUGUCAAUGUGGACUGUGUAUUUUAAACACUUAAGGGUCGCUUGGUAGGAUGUAUUACCCUUGGUAUUAUUUAAUACCUUGUCUGGAAGUGUUUUCAACGUAUGUAUAGCUAAUAUAUCUAUAACUAAUCCUAUUUAGUAUUAUAGGGUGUAUAACUAAUACAUAGCAACCCAUGGUAUUAGCAAAACCAGGGUUAUUGAUACUUGGUUAAAGACAGAACUACCUUGAAUACGCCAACCAAAUCACGGAUAAGAAAUGAUCCCAGCAUUGCUAAUAAUACCCUAUUCAGUACUAUUCUUAUACACCCUACCACACGGCUUAGGGAUUUAGCUUAGUUUGCUCAAAAUUUUGAUCCAUGAUAAACUGAAGAUGCAUGCAGAAGAUUGGGUUUCUUGUUGGUCUACGAAGCCCUUACACGAUUCUUACUUUCGGUUGCAGGGUAGAGAUGAUUUUCAGAUAACACUUUUACGUGUUCUUGAGUCUAUAGCAGAGGAGAUGUCUCUGGUUCAAGAAAGUUCUAGUAUUUUUGUUAGCCAGAUUCUACCUAGUUUAUCUGUUGUUUACAAAGGGAAUAAAGAUGGAGAUGCCAGAUUCUUGUGCCUGAAGAUUUUGUUUGAUGUGAUGGUCAUUUUACUGGACGAAACAUCUGAAAAUGAACAGAAGCCGGAGAAUUUGAAGUCCAUAUCUAAUUCUUACUUCCUCCCUCUCUACCCCUCUUUGAUUGAGGAUGAGGACCCAAUACCUGCGUAUGCUCAGAAACUUCUUGUGAUGCUCAUUGAGUAUAACCAUAUAAAAAUUGCAGACAUUGUCCACAUGAAGAUUAUCUCCCAGUGCUUUGAAUUUCUCCUUGGUGAUUUCUCAACUGCAAAUGUCAACAAUGUACUGCUCUGCUUGGCUCUUACAUCUGCUCCAGAGCUGGAAACCAAAUCGCUCUCCCAACUAAAAGUUGUCAGAAAGAUCGGAAGCCUUUUGGAAUUUGUAUAUGCUAAGGAGAUGGAAGAUUUCAUUGAACCUACGCUUUGUUUGUGUAGGGCUUUCCUUUUACGCUCAGUAGGCAGUGUGAGAGGCUCUAGGUUUGCAAAAGAACCUGUUCGUUUAUUUGAAAAUUCCUCUGAUGGAGCUAGUGCCUUUGAUCAAAAUGAAUGCAUCAGAGAUAUUAUGGACUUUGGUGAAAAUGUUGGGGUCUUAUUAGAACUCACCCAUUUGAAUGAGACUAAUGUUGCAGAUUUAGCUUCUGAAUGCCUAAUUUUAUUGCUCAAGGCAGCUCCGAGGGAAGCUACCACUGGAUUCCUGACAAAUCUUCCCAAAGUCAGUCUCAUCCUUGAGUCAUGGAGACAAAGCACAUCUCACUUGCUGUUGCAACGGAUUCUGAUCGCACUUGGUUAUUCUUGUAGACAGUACCUGUCACAUGCAAUGAUAUUGUCAAUAAGUUUGCCUGAGAUAUCAAAGAUCGAAGGAAUUGUUUCUCAGGUCAAAAGCUCCACAAUACUAUCUCUCGUUGAUGCUGCUUCUCAUGCAGCAUUGGAGCUUCAGAGAUUGCCUCGUUGCAUUUGAGUUUAGACAGGUUAGUUGUUUGCUUUGGUUCUAUGCCACUUUCUUAUCUUCCUUUUCCAUCAGGAGUUAUCACAUCAUAAUAAACCUUGUUCAUCACUCGGAUUAUAACUUAUUGAAACCUUAAACACUUGCUUUGCUAUGAGUGCAGCCAACAAUGUGUUGAAGCAUGUUAUAUCUCCCUUUUGGCACAGAUACAUAAACUGCAGCUCGGAUCAAAUGGAUAUUGUGAAUGGGGAGAUAACUGUGGUUGUCAUCGACCUUUUGUAUAAACCAAUGUAUGACUAUCAUCCUUAAUAUCUUCAAUUGAGUGGUAUUCUUUGUAAUACUUCAUGCAGAUACCAGUAAAUUUUUGUAAUCAAUGGUAAGCCAUAAUAGUUCAAUUUAUCAUUUAUGCCCUUUUCCAGGUUCUGCAUCUUUCAUUUUGAGGUAAAGACUUUUACCUUUUACAUGCCCAUCCUCUCCCUCCCACAUUUUAUACAUAAUGUACAUUCAAUUUAGUGGUAUGUAUAAGUUAUGAUAAAGUAUGUGCAAAAUCUGUAUAAAAAUUGUAUUUUCAAACAUUUGAUCAGUUUGUUUUCUUGUCAUGUUUCAUCCAAUAUCGUACAACUUACAUACAAUUUGGUGGAGGGUUGAGCAAGACUGAAUUGGAAAUAUUACACUCCCCUCUAUUUCUAAUGCCCUAAAACUUUGAUUCGAGAUUCAAAAUUAUAGUCAAUGGUGUUUUCUCAACCUGGAUUAUGAUAAGUCUUAAUUGCGUCCUCAAACAUAGAUAUUUAGAACUAUUUACCUCCUAAUUUAUGAGAAGUAUUAAUUACCUCCUUUUACUAUGUUUCAAUUUAUAUGACUUAUUUUUCUUUUCCGAAUCUCAAAAGGAAUGACAAAUUUUUAGAUUUAGUAAAAAUUUAACUUAAAUUUUUUUUGUUUACUCCUGAUGAAAUGAUUUAUAGUCAUAUAAAUAUUUAUGACUUAUUUUAGACUGCAUCUCUUUUAGAUUUUAUGUCAAGUCAAACUACAUCAUAUAAAUAAGAACAAAGAUUAAAUUUACUUAAUAUAGACAUAUGUUAUUCUUUGUGGAGGGUAAGUGAGUCAUAUAAAAUGAAUGGAGUAAUUUUUUCCAUCAUGUGGCAUAUUAGAGGGUAAAUAAUUUCAAAAUUCCAUGUUUGAGGGGGUAAUCAAGACAUUUCACAAUUUUGAGGUGUGAAGAGAUCCAAAAAUCUAUGACAUUUCAUAGUUUAGGAGGGAGGGGUGGUAAAGAGUUCCAAAAAUCCAUGUUUAAGGGGGUAUUAAGACUUUUCAUAGGUUAGGUGUGCAUGCCAAGUUUAAGAGGCUUUUUAGCUAUUAACUCAAUAAAUAAGGUUUGACAUGAGGGAUGGAGAUCACAGAUCUUGAAAUACUCAAAUGCACUUUAAAGAAGAAAAUAAAAACCUGAGGUUUGAGAGUCCCUAUGGGUUCAGAUGAUGAUUUGAAAUUUAGUUGAAUAGUUUGGACGAGUCUCGAGAGGCUCAAAAGCGUUUCAAAUACUUAAAAUUGAAAAUUAAUGAAUUUAAUAAAUAAGAAUUGACGAGGAUCAAAUAUGUGUCUAUACAACCUGGAUCUGUCAAGUUCCUAACCUUGGUGAGAUCGAUGGAAACUCGAUGCCUUAACCUGACCUAAGGGUGGCAACGGGUCUAGGUUUGGUGGGUCGGAACGACUGGAAUUAGGAUGACUCUAGUCGGGUUUCCUCCGGGACUAGGAUCAACCGGGUCACGAUACUCAGGAUGAAAUGGAAGUCCCCUCCUGUCACUUCUGAGCCAACACCCUAGAUGUGUCCGGCACUCGAGAACCAUUGUUGGUCCUCAAGCGAACCCUUAGCAUGACUAACUACUUAGCGAAAAACUAACUCAAGCAGAAUCAAGCUUUAAACAGAAUUAAACCUUUUAAUCUCAAAGUACUCAAAUGUCUCAAAAUACUCCAAAAACAAGAAUUGUUGAAAUACAAUUUAACAAACGAAUACAUAAAAUAUAUUCAAAACUAACUAUCUAUGAAUCCUCUGUUGUUCCAGAUGGAUGUUGGGACAAGAUCCACGACACCUCAAAAUAACUAACUAAAAGAUGAAAGUAGAGUCCUCUAGAAUGCAAGGAGGCUCACCAAAGCUAAUUGGAAGUGCAAGUGAUCUCAACGAAGCGCCUGUUGAUGAUCCUGAAUACCUGUAUAUUCAUUAUAAAAAGAUGCAGGUCGAAUGAUAUUAGUACAUUGAAUGUAUGAGUAUGUAAUAUCGCGAAAGCAAAAUACCUGAAUGAAAGGACUACAAUAGAUAUAAAUAUAUACUCAACUGUAAGUAAAUAAAUAAAAGAGUGAAAAUAUUUAAACUUUACAAAUACUUACUCAACUCUGAACUCAACAUAUUAAGUGAUAUGAUAAAAAUACACUUUUAACUCUAUCUAGGAGAUUCUCUAACUGAUAACCAUCACUAUAAGCAAUGCAAUGGUACAACGUCUCGCUCAUGCUGCUAGAACUGUCAUAUACCUUGCGGGGAUAUAGAACAUCUCAGCUAAGUGGAUCCACUAAGGCUCUGCUUGAAAGCAAUAAGGAGUCGUCUAAAAAGUACGAUCUUUUACCCAUGUUGGCUACAUGGUUUAUGAGGAAUGUGAGUUGUCUGAACUCAUCCCCAUAUCAGUGCUCAAUACUACUCCCAAUAAAUAUAUACUCAUGCUAAAAUGUAUAAAACAUAUUCUUUCUCAAUUUUGAGGUAAUUUCUCAAAAUAUCCUCUUUAAAGAGGUAAUGCUCUGAAAUAUCUCUAAACUCGUUAACUCAUUUAGAAAUCAAAAUAUCUUUUUUCUCAAUGUAAAAAAGUGAUACAUUUGGGAAUACUUAGUUCCCUUAUACUCUUACUCAAAUCAUGUUUAAAUCUCUUUCUCAAAACUCAUCUUUCCUUUCUCCGAAAAUCAGUUUAAGAUAAAAAUAUUUACUUGAAAAGAUUCUCAAAAAUUAUAACUCAAAAUAGGGUUCAUGCUGAAAUAUAAACAUGAACACCUCAACUCAAGGAUCUCAAUAACAAUAUAGAAAACUCAAUACUAAGAAAUCCAAAACUCACAACUCAAUGAUACUACUCAUCUCAAGAAUACUCAAAAUUCAUGAUAAAAUCCUAGAUUACUCUGUUACUGAAUUUAGAUAGAUGUAAGGCGUGAGGACGAACUCAGUUUGCCACUAUGAUAGCCUUACAUACUUGGAAGAACAAAGUUCUUGGUAAAAUCGGUGAAAACUCGAAGAAUGCUUAAAACAUUAGAUUUCUCCUCUUGGAUCAUUGCUCUAAGACUUGGAAGCGCGUUAAUGAACGUAAAAGGAUUGAUUAACACUGUUCAAACCCUUAACUAGGUGUAAAAAUAUCGUGGUUUAGACUUAGAAGAGGUGGGAAAAGACUAAACUAUCCCUCUUUAAAACUAACGAAAACCUUCCACAUGUCCAUCUACGGUAUCUACGGACCGUAGAUCCCAUCUGUGGAAUUUAUAUUGAAUUUUAAGGCUCAAAAUUUUAUUCUAUGAAUCCAAUCUACAUACUACAUGUAAACCUCCUUAAAAUAUGUGAUUCCAAUAGUACUUGGGGAUCACAAGCCUAUAGCAUUUUGUGUUUUGUUAAUCCUCAUGGUAAAAUUCAUGAUUUUAAUGUUACUUAUAAGAUAAUGUUGAAUUCUCAUACAAAUAAUCGAGUCCUGAAUAUGGAGAAAAUCCUAUUGGGAGCGCCAUCCCCGAAAGGGCCCUGCAGUGCGUGAUCUGGAUUUAGUCGGAACUCCAAUGUGGGCUCCGGACGGAAAACCAAAAAGACUUUUUCAAUAGGAGCUAAAUCCAAGUGAUGUUGGAUUUUAUAGGCUUAUAUACCUAAGAAAUAUGCAACAAAGUAUUUUCUUCAAAUCCAAAGAGAGGACAUGGGCUUUUAUGAUGCAUAAAGAGACUAUGAAAGUUUAGAUAUUGUUAUUGUAAAAGAAAUAAAUUUUUUUUACACAAAGGGUUGGCAUAAAUUUGUGAAAGCUAAAGGUUUAAGAGCAAAUGAUACAAUUAUUUUCACAAAUAAUUGUACCUUUUGCUCUUAAACCUCCGUCUUUCACAAACUUAUGCCAACCCUUUUGGAAAAUAAUUUUUUUGAUUUCUUUUGCAAUAACAAUACCCGAACUUCCAUAAUCUGCUUGAUAUAUCAUAAAAUCUCACGUUCACUUUGGAUUUAAGAAAAAUAAAUACGUUAUUGCAUAUUUCUUAGGUAAAUACAAGACUAGAAAGUCCAACAUCAUCCAUCAUUAUCCUAAGUAACAUUGAAAUCAUGAAUUUUACCAAAAAAAUUAACAAAAACACAAGAUACUAUAGGCUUUUGAUCCCUAAGUAAUAUUUUAAUAUCACAUUUUAAAAAGGGUUACAUAUAGUAUAUAGAUAUCCUCGUGGUGGUAACCUGACAGUAUACAAAUCAUUACACUAAUGGUGUAUAUAAUUUAAACUCUUACGAAUUUAUAUUUUUUGUGAAUCGUUGUAUGUAAAUAUCUCUGGUAUGACAUGCAACAACAACAACAUACAUAUCUAGUGUAAUCCCACAAGUGACAUAUAGGGAGAGUAGUGUCUACACAUACCUUAGGACAAUGACCAUUAUGUUGGCCUACAACACCUUUGAGUCUUCAUCUAGAAUUGCAAGUUUUUUUCUCACAUGCAUGAAUCUUGUAUAUUUUGGGCAAUAGAUGAUUGCUCGCUCUUAAAAUGCAAUCACCAACUGUUACGUAUGUGAUUGUACUUGAUAUUAAGGUCAUUUCGUCUUUUAUGUUGCAU